Molecule: ribosomal RNA, 468 nt
Filed under: uncultured bacterium
Lineage: Bacteria
Description: partial 16S ribosomal RNA
Rfam family: Bacterial small subunit ribosomal RNA
Source: RNAcentral
GACGAACGCUGGCGGCGUGCUUAACACAUGCAAGUCGAACGGCAAGGCCCUGCUUUUGUGGGCUGCUCGAGUGGCGAACGCGUGAGUAACACGUGAGUAACCUGCUCUUGACUUUGGGAUAACUUAAGGAAACUGGGGCUAAUACCGGAUAGGAGCUCAUGCUGCAUGGUGGGGAUUGGAAAGUUUCGGCCGUUGGGGAUGGACUCGCGGCUUAUCAGCUUGUUGGUGGGGUAGUGGCUUACCAAGGCAUUGAAGGGUAGCCCGCCUGGGAGGGUGACCGGGCACAAUGGUACUACGGGACGGCGCAGACGCGUACGUGGGGCAACAGUGGAGAGUAUGGCACAAUGAGACGAAGCCUGUGGCAACGACGCCGCGGUCGUAAUGACGGCCUGCUGGUUGUAAACCGCUUCCGCCUGAUACGAAGCUUUAGUGACGGUAAUGGGUAAAGAAGCACCGGCUAACUACGUG